UUAAGUUAUUAAGGGCGCACGGUGGAUGCCUUGGCACUAGAAGCCGAUGAAGGACGUUACUAACGACGAUAUGCUUUGGGGAGCUGUAAGUAAGCUUUGAUCCAGAGAUUUCCGAAUGGGGAAACCCAGCAUGAGUUAUGUCAUGUUAUCGAUAUGUGAAUACAUAGCAUAUCAGAAGGCACACCCGGAGAACUGAAACAUCUUAGUACCCGGAGGAAGAGAAAGAAAAUUCGAUUCCCUUAGUAGCGGCGAGCGAAACGGGAAGAGCCCAAACCAACAAGCUUGCUUGUUGGGGUUGUAGGACACUCUAUACGGAGUUACAAAGGACGACAUUAGACGAAUCAUCUGGAAAGAUGAAUCAAAGAAGGUAAUAAUCCUGUAGUCGAAAAUGUUGUCUCUCUUGAGUGGAUCCUGAGUAUGACGGAGCACGUGAAAUUCCGUCGGAAUCUGGGAGGACCAUCUCCUAAGGCUAAAUACUCUCUAGUGACCGAUAGUGAACCAGUACCGUGAGGGAAAGGUGAAAAGCACCCCGGAAGGGGAGUGAAAUAGAACCUGAAACCGUGUGCUUACAAGUAGUCAGAGCCCGUUAAUGGGUGAUGGCGUGCCUUUUGUAGAAUGAACCGGCGAGUUACGAUUUGAUGCAAGGUUAAGCAGUAAAUGUGGAGCCGUAGCGAAAGCGAGUCUGAAUAGGGCGUUUAGUAUUUGGUCGUAGACCCGAAACCAGGUGAUCUACCCUUGGUCAGGUUGAAGUUCAGGUAACACUGAAUGGAGGACCGAACCGACUUACGUUGAAAAGUGAGCGGAUGAACUGAGGGUAGCGGAGAAAUUCCAAUCGAACCUGGAGAUAGCUGGUUCUCUCCGAAAUAGCUUUAGGGCUAGCCUCAAGUGAUGAUUAUUGGAGGUAGAGCACUGUUUGGACGAGGGGCCCCUCUCGGGUUACCGAAUUCAGACAAACUCCGAAUGCCAAUUAAUUUAACUUGGGAGUCAGAACAUGGGUGAUAAGGUCCGUGUUCGAAAGGGAAACAGCCCAGACCACCAGCUAAGGUCCCAAAAUAUAUGUUAAGUGGAAAAGGAUGUGGCGUUGCCCAGACAACUAGGAUGUUGGCUUAGAAGCAGCCAUCAUUUAAAGAGUGCGUAAUAGCUCACUAGUCGAGUGACACUGCGCCGAAAAUGUACCGGGGCUAAACAUAUUACCGAAGCUGUGGAUUGUCCUUUGGACAAUGGUAGGAGAGCGUUCUAAGGGCGUUGAAGCAUGAUCGUAAGGACAUGUGGAGCGCUUAGAAGUGAGAAUGCCGGUGUGAGUAGCGAAAGACGGGUGAAAAUCCCGUCCACCGAUUGACUAAGGUUUCCAGAGGAAGGCUCGUCCGCUCUGGGUUAGUCGGGUCCUAAGCUGAGGCCGACAGGCGUAGGCGAUGGAUAACAGGUUGAUAUUCCUGUACCACCUAUAAUCGUUUUAAUCGAUGGGGGGACGCAGUAGGAUAGGCGAAGCGUGCGAUUGGAUUGCACGUCUAAGCAGUAAGGCUGAGUAUUAGGCAAAUCCGGUACUCGUUAAGGCUGAGCUGUGAUGGGGAGAAGACAUUGUGUCUUCGAGUCGUUGAUUUCACACUGCCGAGAAAAGCCUCUAGAUAGAAAAUAGGUGCCCGUACCGCAAACCGACACAGGUAGUCAAGAUGAGAAUUCUAAGGUGAGCGAGCGAACUCUCGUUAAGGAACUCGGCAAAAUGACCCCGUAACUUCGGGAGAAGGGGUGCUCUUUAGGGUUAACGCCCAGAAGAGCCGCAGUGAAUAGGCCCAAGCGACUGUUUAUCAAAAACACAGGUCUCUGCUAAACCGUAAGGUGAUGUAUAGGGGCUGACGCCUGCCCGGUGCUGGAAGGUUAAGAGGAGUGGUUAGCUUCUGCGAAGCUACGAAUCGAAGCCCCAGUAAACGGCGGCCGUAACUAUAACGGUCCUAAGGUAGCGAAAUUCCUUGUCGGGUAAGUUCCGACCCGCACGAAAGGCGUAACGAUUUGGGCACUGUCUCAACGAGAGACUCGGUGAAAUCAUAGUACCUGUGAAGAUGCAGGUUACCCGCGACAGGACGGAAAGACCCCGUGGAGCUUUACUGUAGCCUGAUAUUGAAAUUCGGCACAGCUUGUACAGGAUAGGUAGGAGCCUUUGAAACGUGAGCGCUAGCUUACGUGGAGGCGCUGGUGGGAUACUACCCUAGCUGUGUUGGCUUUCUAACCCGCACCACUUAUCGUGGUGGGAGACAGUGUCAGGCGGGCAGUUUGACUGGGGCGGUCGCCUCCUAAAAGGUAACGGAGGCGCUCAAAGGUUCCCUCAGAAUGGUUGGAAAUCAUUCAUAGAGUGUAAAGGCAUAAGGGAGCUUGACUGCGAGACCUACAAGUCGAGCAGGGUCGAAAGACGGACUUAGUGAUCCGGUGGUUCCGCAUGGAAGGGCCAUCGCUCAACGGAUAAAAGCUACCCCGGGGAUAACAGGCUUAUCUCCCCCAAGAGUUCACAUCGACGGGGAGGUUUGGCACCUCGAUGUCGGCUCAUCGCAUCCUGGGGCUGUAGUCGGUCCCAAGGGUUGGGCUGUUCGCCCAUUAAAGCGGUACGCGAGCUGGGUUCAGAACGUCGUGAGACAGUUCGGUCCCUAUCCGUCGUGGGCGUAGGAAAUUUGAGAGGAGCUGUCCUUAGUACGAGAGGACCGGGAUGGACAUACCUCUGGUGUACCAGUUGUCGUGCCAACGGCAUAGCUGGGUAGCUAUGUGUGGACGGGAUAAGUGCUGAAAGCAUCUAAGCAUGAAGCCCCCCUCAAGAUGAGAUUUCCCAACUUCGGUUAUAAGAUCCCUCAAAGAUGAUGAGGUUAAUAGGUUCGAGGUGGAAGCAUGGUGACAUGUGGAGCUGACGAAUACUAAUCGAUCGAAGACUUAAUCAA
This 2921-nucleotide ribosomal RNA is filed under the name Staphylococcus aureus. RNAcentral describes it as "bacterial LSU rRNA". It matches the Rfam family "Bacterial large subunit ribosomal RNA". Lineage: Bacteria; Bacillati; Bacillota; Bacilli; Caryophanales; Staphylococcaceae. The record is from RNAcentral.